GAAAAAAGUGGAAAUUCAGAACAAUUAAAUUGCAACCAUAUGAAAAAGCACACAUCUUGCUACCAUUGUCUUGCAGGGUCUUUUCUUGUGGUGUCAAACCUGGCUUCAGGAAUGUUUUAGAUGACAGAGAGUGUUUAGAAGAGAGAACUGAGAUCACCCCAGUGGUUUAGGUGACAGCUGCUAUAAAGAUGGACUUGAAAAUGAAGUAGUAUACAAGAUAUUCAAUUACUCUGGGAAUCAGAGGAGCUACUGGAAAGGCAUAACACAGGGCUCAGCAGGAGAAUUACUGUCCUGGACCCGGGCCUUCUUGGAACUCUUAUUCUUGGAGGCUCUUGGAAAUGGACAACCAUUUGGAUUCCCUAGGCACAUGUCAACCAGAUUGGAGUGCAAAGUUCUCAUGGAGAUAGUCUUUCUUGGUGUAAAUACAUCACCAUGCCCUUGA
Molecule: long non-coding RNA, 442 nt
Filed under: Meleagris gallopavo (turkey)
Lineage: Eukaryota; Metazoa; Chordata; Aves; Galliformes; Phasianidae
Description: lncRNA (ENSMGAG00000019877.1)
Source: RNAcentral